This 22-nucleotide microRNA is filed under the name human gammaherpesvirus 4 (Epstein-Barr virus). Its description in RNAcentral is "Human gammaherpesvirus 4 (Epstein-Barr virus) BART16". The record is from RNAcentral. Lineage: Duplodnaviria; Heunggongvirae; Peploviricota; Herviviricetes; Herpesvirales; Orthoherpesviridae.
AUAGAGUGGGUGUGUGCUCUUG